UGCGGAGGGAUCAUUACUGAGUGAGGGCCCUUGCGGUCCGACCUCCAACCCUUUGUUAUCCAACUCUGUUGCCUCGGGGGCGACCCGGCCUUCGGGCGUCGGGGCCCCCGGUGGACCCAAUCAAUAACCCUGCAUCUUUGCGUCGGAGUACACAUUUGAAUCAAUCAAAACUUUCAACAACGGAUCUCUUGGUUCUGGCAUCGAUGAAGAACGCAGCGAAAUGCGAUAAGUAAUGUGAAUUGCAGAAUUCAGUGAAUCAUCGAAUCUUUGAACGCACAUUGCGCCCCCUGGCAUUCCGGGGGGCAUGCCUGUUCGAGCGUCAUUACACCACUCAAGCCUGGCUUGGUAUUGGGCGUCGCGCCUCCGCGCGCGCCCUAAUGUCGCCGGCCGAGCCGUCCGUCUCUAAGCGUUGUGCAAACUAUCCGCUGGUGAGAAGGGGGGCGUCGCGCCGUUAAACCUGGACUCGCGUCCAUCCAAGGUUGACCUCGGAUCAGGUAGGGAUACCCGCUGAACUUAAGCAUAUCAAUAAGCGGAGGAA
RNAcentral lists this ribosomal RNA (538 nucleotides) under Mycosphaerellaceae sp. PIMO_259. Its description in RNAcentral is "eukaryotic LSU rRNA". The stretch from base 169 to 322 matches the Rfam family "5.8S ribosomal RNA". Lineage: Eukaryota; Fungi; Ascomycota; Dothideomycetes; Mycosphaerellales; Mycosphaerellaceae. The record is from RNAcentral.